GCCACGGUGGCACAACCCGGUACUGCGUCAGUCUCGAAAACUGAUCCCGUAAGGGAUUCCCAGUUCAAAUCUGGGCCGUGGCG
RNAcentral lists this transfer RNA (83 nucleotides) under Nanobdellota archaeon. Its description in RNAcentral is "tRNA-Ser". It matches the Rfam family "tRNA". From Rfam's summary of the family: Transfer RNA (tRNA) molecules are approximately 80 nucleotides in length. Their secondary structure includes four short double-helical elements and three loops (D, anti-codon, and T loops). Lineage: Archaea; Nanobdellati; Nanobdellota. The record is from RNAcentral.